Populus trichocarpa (black cottonwood) is the source of this 155-nucleotide non-coding RNA. The record is from Rfam. Lineage: Eukaryota; Viridiplantae; Streptophyta; Magnoliopsida; Malpighiales; Salicaceae.
UCUAGAACUCAAGAUAUGAACUGAAAACCGAAUAGUGUCUAAGCUGCAGGACAGAUUCCGACUUCUCCAUUGUUGCUAAGAUUUGAACUUGAAAACGGCAGAAUUGAGUCUUGGACUUCCAUGAAAGUUUUAGGUCUAUGUCUUAGCUUUCCAUC